RNAcentral lists this unclassified non-coding RNA (231 nucleotides) under Hevea brasiliensis (rubber tree). The record is from RNAcentral. Lineage: Eukaryota; Viridiplantae; Streptophyta; Magnoliopsida; Malpighiales; Euphorbiaceae.
GGUGGAAUGUCAUCACAAUCCCAUGACCGUCCACCGACAGAUUUUUUUGUGGACACAAAGGAUGUUUUUGGUAGGGAGGAUGAUAAAGAAAAAAUAAUUGAUCUGUUGCGGUCAGAUAAUUCUGAUGAAGAAGGCAACCUUUCUGUCAUUCCCAUCAUUGGAAUGGGAGGACUUGGCAAAACAACUCUUGCUCAACUCGUCUACAAUGAUAAGAGGGUAGAGGAGUGUUUC